CGGAGUGUAGCUCAGACUGGUAGAGCAUCGUCUUCGGGAGGCGGGGGUCGCUGGUUCAAAUCCAGUCACUCCGACCA
Molecule: transfer RNA, 77 nt
Filed under: Pseudomonadales bacterium
Lineage: Bacteria; Pseudomonadati; Pseudomonadota; Gammaproteobacteria; Pseudomonadales
Also listed under: 1 other name
Description: tRNA-Pro
Rfam family: tRNA
About the family: Transfer RNA (tRNA) molecules are approximately 80 nucleotides in length. Their secondary structure includes four short double-helical elements and three loops (D, anti-codon, and T loops).
Source: RNAcentral